GUAACAAAGCGCUUUACAGAACAUUUAAAAUACUACAUCCAAGAAGUCAGAAUAUUGUUCCAUAUGUAAGGUGCACCAGAUUAUAAGGCGCCCUGUCGGAUUUUGAGAAAAUGGAAUGCUUUUAGGUGCGCCUUAUAGUACGGAAAUACGGUCUUUGUUUUUGUCU
Long non-coding RNA from Hippocampus comes (tiger tail seahorse), 166 nucleotides. RefSeq lists it as uncharacterized. The transcript is spliced from 3 exons. NCBI's taxonomy places the organism in Eukaryota, Metazoa, Chordata, Actinopteri, Syngnathiformes, Syngnathidae. The record is from RefSeq and is a predicted model, not a curated record.